GAUGAACGCUAGCUACAGGCUCAACACAUGCAAGUCGCGGGGCAGCAUGGGGGUUGCUUGCAAUCCCCGAUGGCGACCGGCGCACGGGUGAGUAACGCGUAUCCAACCUGCCCUUCACCACGGGAUAACCCGGCGAAAGUCGGACUAAUACCGUAUGUUGUCCAUUGACGGCAUCCGAUUUGGACGAAAGGUUUGGCGGUGAAGGAUGGGGAUGCGUCCGAUUAGCUGGACGGCGGGGUGACGGCCCACCGUGGCGACGAUCGGUAGGGGUUCUGAGAGGAAGGUCCCCCACACUGGAACUGAGACACGGCCCAGACUCCUACGGGAGGCAGCAGUGAGGAAUAUUGGUCAAUGGGCGUAAGCCUGAACCAGCCAAGUAGCGUGCAGGAUGACGGCCCUAUGGGUUGUAAACUGCUUUUAUGCGGGGAUAAAGUGGCCCACGUGUGGGUUUUUGCAGGUACCGCGUGAAUAAGGACCGGCUAAUUCCGUG
Molecule: ribosomal RNA, 490 nt
Filed under: uncultured bacterium
Lineage: Bacteria
Description: partial 16S ribosomal RNA
Rfam family: Bacterial small subunit ribosomal RNA
Source: RNAcentral